UUCCGGUUGACCCUGCCGGACCCCACUGCUAUCGGGGUGGGACUAAAACAUGCAAGUCGAGCGCCUCCAAGCUAUGGUGAAGGCGCGGCAAACGGCUCAGUAACACGUGGCCAACCUACCCUUGGGACGGAGACAACCCCGGGAAACUGGGGCUAAUCCCCGAUAGGUGAGGAAUCCUGGAAUGGACCCUCGCCCAAAAGACGUUGAGUCCAUGCUAUUCAGCGUCGCCCAAGGAUGGAGCCGCGACCGAUCAGGUAGUUGGUGAGGCAACGGCUCACCAAGCCUAUAACCGGUACGGGCCGUGAGAGCGGGAGCCCGGAGAUGGGCACUGAGACAAGGGCCCAGGCCCUACGGGGCGCAGCAGUUGCGAAAACUCCGCAAUGCGCGAAAGCGUGACGGGGCUACCCCGAGUGCCGCCCGUUGAGGGCGGCUUUUCCACGGUGUAAGGAGCCGUGGGAAUAAGGAGAGGGCAAGACUGGUGUCAGCCGCCGCGGUAAUACCAGCUCUCCGAGUGGUGGGGACGAUUAUUGGGCUUAAAGCGUUCGUAGCCGGCUUAACAAGUCUUCCGUUAAAUCCAACGAUCUAAUCGUUGGGCUGCGGGAGAUACUGUUGGGCUAGGAGGCGGGAGAAGCCGACGGUAUUCUCGGGGUAGGGGUGAAAUCCUGUAAUCCCGGGAGGACCACCAGUGGCGAAGGCGGUCGGCUAGAACGCGCUCGACGGUGAGGGACGAAAGCUGGGGGAGCGAACCGGAUUAGAAACCCGGGUAGUCCCAGCUGUAACGAUGCGCGCUAGGUGUUGGGGUGGCCACUAGCCACUUCAGUGCCGCAUGGAAGCAAUUAAGCCCGCCGCCUGGGGAGUACCGUCUGCAACGCUGAAACCUAAAGGACUGGCCGGGGAGCACCACACGCGUGAAGCUUGCUGUAAUUGGACUCCAACGCC
RNAcentral lists this ribosomal RNA (939 nucleotides) under uncultured archaeon. Its description in RNAcentral is "bacterial SSU rRNA". It matches the Rfam family "Archaeal small subunit ribosomal RNA", at positions 1 to 919 of the family's 1478-position model. The record is from RNAcentral.